Triticum aestivum (bread wheat) is the source of this 126-nucleotide non-coding RNA. The record is from Rfam. NCBI's taxonomy places the organism in Eukaryota, Viridiplantae, Streptophyta, Magnoliopsida, Poales, Poaceae.
UUAAUACUCCCUCCGUCCCAUAAAACUUGUCCCAGGCUUGUCUUUCAAAUGGAUGUAUCUAGCACUAAUUUGAUGCUAGAUACAUCCAUAUGAGGGACAAGUUUUUUCGGACGGAGGGAGUAUCCU